UGAGGAAUAUUGCACAAUGGGGGAAACCCUGAUGCAGCGACGCCGCGUGAAGGAUGAAGUAUUUCGGUAUGUAAACUUCUAUCAGCAGGGAAGAAAAUGACGGUACCUGACUAAGAAGCCCCGGCUAACUACGUGCCAGCAGCCGCGGUAAUACGUAGGGGGCAAGCGUUAUCCGGAUUUACUGGGUGUAAAGGGAGCGUAGACGGCGAAGCAAGUCUGAAGUGAAAACCCAGGGCUCAACCCUGGGACUGCUUUGGAAACUGUCAGGCUAGAGUGCUGGAGAGGUAAGUGGAAUUCCUAGUGUAGCGGUGAAAUGCGUAGAUAUUAGGAGGAACACCAGUGGCGAAGGCGGCUUACUGGACAGUGACUGACGUUGAGGCUCGAAAGCGUGGGGAGCAAACAGGAUUAGAUACCC
Molecule: ribosomal RNA, 415 nt
Filed under: uncultured bacterium
Lineage: Bacteria
Description: bacterial SSU rRNA
Rfam family: Bacterial small subunit ribosomal RNA
Source: RNAcentral